This 402-nucleotide long non-coding RNA is filed under the name Ananas comosus (pineapple). RNAcentral describes it as "long non-coding RNA (ACOM_LNC021357)". Lineage: Eukaryota; Viridiplantae; Streptophyta; Magnoliopsida; Poales; Bromeliaceae. The record is from RNAcentral.
ACCCGCCCAUUUGUCAGGUUUAGAUAAGACUAGUAGAGAUUAACGCUCUAAUAAUCCCACAUCAGAUUAAAAAACAAUUCUAAUAGAAAUAUAUGAGGCCUCACACUCUAAUAAUAGUAACUGAAUUUAAAUAUUUUUGAUCGUUACAGUUGGUAUUAAAACUGAAUACCAGCAAAAAAUAUAAGAGCUAAGUGUUAUACGGGAUAAAGUACUAUACAACGGGUUUGAUGAGGGCCAUCUACUUUUAAAAUCUCACGUCACAUAAUAGUUCUAGUCUAUAUCUCUAUAAUCGGGUUUGGGUGAGUUUAAAUAUUUUCGACAGAUGAUUUGAACCCAACGAAUUAUUAUUGCUAGAGAGCUGAAUCGUCACAUACAGAUAUAUGGGCCCGUGGUUCGUAGAGA